GAUGAAGAACGUAGCAAAAUGCGAUAAGUAGUGUGAAUUGCAGAAUCCCGUGAACCAUCGAGUUUUUGAACGCAAGUUGCGCCCGAAGCCGUUAGGCUGAGGGCACGCCUGCCUGGGUGUCACACAUCGUUGCCCCAAUGCCAAUCGCCUCACUUUGUAGGUAUUUGCUUGGGGUGAAUGUUGGCCUCCCGUGAGCUUUGUCUCACGGUUGGUUGAAAAUCGAGUGCAUGGUGUCGGGUGUACCAUGAUGGAUGGUGGUUGAGUGAUGAUGCUCGAGACCAAUCAUGGGUAACUCCACCAGAAUUGGGCUCGGUGACCCACAUGCGUCCCUUGGAUGCUCCCUAAGGAGACCUCAGGUCAGGCGGGGCUACCCGCUGAGUUUAAGCAUAUCAAUAAGCGGAGGA
RNAcentral lists this unclassified non-coding RNA (404 nucleotides) under soil metagenome. RNAcentral describes it as "partial contains 5.8S ribosomal RNA, internal transcribed spacer 2, and large subunit ribosomal RNA". The stretch from base 1 to 122 matches the Rfam family "5.8S ribosomal RNA", at positions 35 to 154 of the family's 154-position model. The record is from RNAcentral.